RNAcentral lists this ribosomal RNA (269 nucleotides) under uncultured prokaryote. Its description in RNAcentral is "partial 16S ribosomal RNA". It matches the Rfam family "Bacterial small subunit ribosomal RNA", at positions 524 to 792 of the family's 1533-position model. The record is from RNAcentral.
UACGGAGAGUGCAAGCGUUAUCCGGAAUCACUAGGCGUAAAGGGAGCGUAGGCGUCUUGUCAAGUUCCCGGUGGAAUCUCCGGGCUUAACCCGGAACUUGCGGGGAAAACUGACAGGAUUGAGUUGAAGAUGGGAGAGUGGAAUUCCUGGUGGAGCGGUGAAAUGUGUAGAUAUCAGGAAGAAUACCGAUGGCGAAGGCGACUCUCUGGCUUUAAACUGACGCUGAUUCUCGAAAGCGUGGGUAGCAAACGGGAUUAGAUACCCGCGUA